Molecule: ribosomal RNA, 500 nt
Filed under: uncultured bacterium
Lineage: Bacteria
Description: partial 16S ribosomal RNA
Rfam family: Bacterial small subunit ribosomal RNA
Source: RNAcentral
AUUGAACGCUGGCGGAAUGCCUUACACAUGCAAGUCGAACGGCAGCACGGACUUCGGUCUGGUGGGGAGUGGCGAACGGGUGAGUAAUGUAUCGGAACGUGCCCAGUCGUGGGGGAUAACGUAGUGAAAAUUACGCUAAUACCGCAUACGAUCUAUGGAUGAAAGCGGGGGAUCGCAAGACCUCGCGCGAUUCGCGCGGCCGAUAUCAGAUUAGGUAGUUGGUGGGGUAAAGGCCCACCCAGCCAACGAUCUGUAGCUGGUCUGAGAGGACGACCAGCCACACUGGAACUGAGACACGGUCCAGACUCCUACGGGAGGCAGCAGUGGGGAAUUUUGGACAAUGGGCGAAAGCCUGAUCCAGCCAUUCCGCGUGCAGGAUGAAGGCCCUCGGGUUGUAAACUGCUUUUGUACAGAACGAAAAGGUUUCUACUAAUACUAGGAGCUCAUGACGGUACUGUAAGAAUAAGCACCGGCUAACUACGUGCCAGCCGCCGCUGUAA